Molecule: long non-coding RNA, 299 nt
Organism: Anguilla rostrata (American eel)
Lineage: Eukaryota; Metazoa; Chordata; Actinopteri; Anguilliformes; Anguillidae
Exons: 3
Source: RefSeq, a predicted model, not a curated record
GAUCAUGGAGGAGAAGAUAGAAAACAUCGCAAGACACAUCUCCAGCCUUUCAGACAAAAUCACAGCUAUAGAGCAGGCCAUAGAAAGUCAAGACAUCUCAUUCUUAAAGAUCUAUAAGGAUACCAAGAGAAGAGCCCAAUGCACACUGCAGGAUCCAGAGCUGCUCUCAGGGGCACUGAUAGUUGUGGCCAAACACCUGGGCAACCUGAAGUUUAGAGUCUGGGAGAAAAUGCUGGGGGUGGUGCAGUACAGUGAGUACAGUAUCUGGGACACAGAUCACAGAACUUGCACAAUUACUG